GAGAGGUGACUAAGGAAGAAGGGUUGGAGAGAGGCAGCACUGCUGGCUUUUAAGAUGGAGGAAAAGGCCAUGAACCAAGAAAUGUGGGUGGCCUGAGACACUGAAAAAGAAAAAAAAGCAAACUAUCUCUUAUGGCCUCCAGAAAGGAAUGUAGCCCAGCUGACACCUUGAUUUAAGCCUGGUGAAAUUCAUGGCAGACUUCAAAACUACAUAACUAGGUACUAAAACCACCAGGAACAGCCUCUGGCUUCAUCAGAAACAGGAUGAGAAAAGGCAAGUUAUCAAACCUCUGGAAAUGUCAGCUAUAAAAUGAAGAUGGUAUCAAACUCAAGUUAAGAAGAUCAUUCAGAGAAGAAACAAGUGACAUCAGAAGCAUCAGAGGCUCCCUAUUUGGAUGGAGGCAUACAGUGCAGAGAUUAAAGGCCUUGUCAAGCAGUUGGGAGGAUUGUUACCCUGCCUGUUAAUGGUGUGAUACCUGAGGACAGCUGCCUCUUUCUCCACGCAGGACUGGAUACAAGGAUGUGCAUUCACCUGGACCGGAAGCAAGGGGGUGUGGAAGUUUGGGAAGUCUACCUGGCUUUGGCUAACAUCAGAGGUUAUGGGCCUUGCUUUUAAAAAGAUGUGAGACCUAAAUAAAAAAUAGAAAACAGUAUGCAGUUCCAUAAAAAAUCCAAAGAGGAGAUAAUAUGUGAUCCAGCAAUUCUACUUCUGGUUAUAUAUCCCAAAGACCUGAAAGUAGAAUCUCAAAGACAUAUCUGUACUCCCGUGUUCAUAGGACCAUUAUUCAUAAGUCAAGAGUGGAAGCAACUCAAAUGUCUACCAACAGGAUGAAGCUGAGUGCUGCAUGCCCACCCGGAGCUGAGCUCCACCUACACACUGCUCGGCUCUGCUCUGCUCUGCUCUGCUCGGAGCUGUCUGGGAGCUGGGGAAGCUUGGCAUGGGAAUGGACAGUGAGGAGUUUCCUCUUCUGCUUUUAAACUGUAGCUCCCACUUCACCAGCGCUAAGCUGACAUACCUCAGCCUCGAAGGCUCCCCCUCAGAGGCUCACUGGACCCUGCUAAAUGCAUCUGUACUGUUCUGCGCCUACUCAUCUCUCAUCCUUUCUCCUGCUGAUUUAAGGACUUGCUAUGUCUCUUGCCCACUAGUCU
Long non-coding RNA from Heterocephalus glaber (naked mole-rat), 1148 nucleotides. RefSeq lists it as uncharacterized. The record is from RefSeq and is a predicted model, not a curated record. NCBI's taxonomy places the organism in Eukaryota, Metazoa, Chordata, Mammalia, Rodentia, Bathyergidae.